AGCAGCCGCCGCGGGAAUACGUAGGGUGCAAGCGUUAAUCGGAAUUACUGGGCGUAAAGCGUGCGCAGGCGGUUAUAUAAGACAGAUGUGAAAUCCCCGGGCUCAACCUGGGAACUGCAUUUGUGACUGUAUAGCUAGAGUACGGCAGAGGGGGAUGGAAUUCCGCGUGUAGCAGUGAAAUGCGUAGAUAUGCGGAGGAACACCGAUGGCGAAGGCAAUCCCCUGGGCCUGUACUGACGCUCAUGCACGAAAGCGUGGGGAGCAAACAGGAUUAGAUACCCGAGUAGUCCCUGUCUCUUAUAC
This 303-nucleotide ribosomal RNA is filed under the name uncultured bacterium. Its description in RNAcentral is "partial 16S ribosomal RNA". It matches the Rfam family "Bacterial small subunit ribosomal RNA", at positions 507 to 807 of the family's 1533-position model. The record is from RNAcentral.